UGAACGCUGGCGGCAUGCCUUACACAUGCAAGUCGAGCGGUAACAGGUCUUCGGAUGCUGACGAGUGGCGAACGGGUGAGUAAUACAUCGGAACGUGCCCGAUCGUGGGGGAUAACGAAGCGAAAGCUUUGCUAAUACCGCAUACGAUCUACGGAUGAAAGCAGGGGACCGCAAGGCCUUGCGCGAACGGAGCGGCCGGUGGCAGAUUAGGUAGUUGGUGGGAUAAAAGCUUACCAAGCCGACGAUCUGUAGCUGGUCUGAGAGGACGACCAGCCACACUGGGACUGAGACACGGCCCAGACUCCUACGGGAGGCAGCAGUGGGGAAUUUUGGACAAUGGGCGAAAGCCUGAUCCAGCCAUGCCGCGUGCAGGAUGAAGGCCUUCGGGUUGUAAACUGCUUUUGUACGGAACGAAAAGACUCUGGUUAAUACCUGGGGUCCAUGACGGUACCGUAAGAAUAAGCACCGGCUAACUACGUGCCAGCAGCCGCGGUAAUACGUAGGGUGCAAGCGUUAAUCGGAAUUACUGGGCGUAAAGCGUGCGCAGGCGGUUAUAUAAGACAGAUGUGAAAUCCCCGGGCUCAACCUGGGAACUGCAUUUGUGACUGUAUAGCUAGAGUACGGCAGAGGGGGAUGGAAUUCCGCGUGUAGCAGUGAAAUGUGUAGAUAUGCGGAGGAACACCGAUGGCGAAGGCAAUCCCCUGGGCCUGUGCUGACGCUCAUGCACGAAAGCGUGGGGAGCAAACAGG
RNAcentral lists this ribosomal RNA (749 nucleotides) under uncultured beta proteobacterium. RNAcentral's name for it is "bacterial SSU rRNA". It matches the Rfam family "Bacterial small subunit ribosomal RNA", at positions 30 to 776 of the family's 1533-position model. Lineage: Bacteria; Pseudomonadati; Pseudomonadota; Betaproteobacteria. The record is from RNAcentral.